Molecule: ribosomal RNA, 504 nt
Filed under: uncultured bacterium
Lineage: Bacteria
Description: bacterial SSU rRNA
Rfam family: Bacterial small subunit ribosomal RNA
Source: RNAcentral
GCCCUUAGAGUUUGAUCCUGGCUCAGAUUGAACGCUGGCGGCAUGCUUUACACAUGCAAGUCGAACGGCAGCGCGGGGAGCUUGCUCCCUGGCGGCGAGUGGCGCACGGGUGAGUAAUACAUCGGAACGUGUCUUCUAGUGGGGGAUAACUGCCCGAAAGGGCAGCUAAUACCGCAUGAGACCUGAGGGUGAAAGCGGGGGAUCGCAAGACCUCGCGCUGGAAGAGCGGCCGAUGUCCGAUUAGCUAGUUGGUGAGGUAAAGGCUCACCAAGGCGACGAUCGGUAGCUGGUCUGAGAGGACGACCAGCCACACUGGGACUGAGACACGGCCCAGACUCCUACGGGAGGCAGCAGUGGGGAAUUUUGGACAAUGGGGGCAACCCUGAUCCAGCCAUGCCGCGUGCAGGAUGAAGGUCUUCGGAUUGUAAACUGCUUUUGUCAGGGACGAAAAGGGAUGCGAUAACACCGCAUUCCGCUAGACGGUACCGAAGAAUAGCACCGGCU